AUAUUGGACAAUGGGGGCAACCCUGAUCCAGCCAUGCCGCGUGUGUUAAGAAGGUCUUCGGAUUGUAAAGCACUUUAAGUUGGGAGGAAGGGCUUUAGGUUAAUACCCUGAAGUUUUGACGUUACCAACAGAUUAAGCACCUGCUAACUCUGUGCCAGCCGCCGCGGGAAUACAGAGGGUUCAAGCGUUAAACGGAAUUUCUGGGCGUAAAGCGCGCGUAGGUGGUUCAGUAAGAUGGGUGUGAAAUCCCCGGGCUUAACCUGGGAACUGCUUUCAUAACUGCUGAGCUAGAGUACGGUAGAGGGUAGUGGAAUUUCCUGUGUAGCGGUGAAAUGCGUAGAUAUAGGAAGGAACACCAGUGGCGAAGGCGACUACCUGGACUGAUACUGACACUGAGGUGCGAAAGCGUGGGGAGCAAACA
RNAcentral lists this ribosomal RNA (421 nucleotides) under uncultured bacterium. RNAcentral describes it as "partial 16S ribosomal RNA". It matches the Rfam family "Bacterial small subunit ribosomal RNA", at positions 361 to 774 of the family's 1533-position model. The record is from RNAcentral.